RNAcentral lists this ribosomal RNA (492 nucleotides) under uncultured bacterium. RNAcentral describes it as "partial 16S ribosomal RNA". It matches the Rfam family "Bacterial small subunit ribosomal RNA", at positions 29 to 507 of the family's 1533-position model. The record is from RNAcentral.
AGUGAACGCUGGCGGUAGGCCUAACACAUGCGAGUCGAACGGCAGCACAGUAAGAGCUUGCUCUUACGGGUGGCGAGUGGCGGACGGGGGAGGAAUACAUCGGAAUCUACUUUUUCGUGGGGGAUAACGUAGGGAAACUUACGCUAAUACCGCAUACGACGUACGGGUGAAAGCAGGGGAUCUUCGGACCUUGCGCGAGUGAAUGAGCCGAUGUCGGAUUAGCUAGUUGGCGGGGUAAAGGCCCACCAAGGCGACGAUCCGUAGCUGGUCUGAGAGGAUGAUCAGCCACACUGGAACUGAGACACGGUCCAGACUCCUACGGGAGGCAGCAGUGGGGAAUAUUGGACAAUGGGCGCAAGCCUGAUCCAGCCAUACCGCGUGGGUGAAGAAGGCCUUCGGGUUGUAAAGCCCUUUUGUUGGGAAAGAAAAGCAGCAGGUUAAUACCCCGCUGUUCUGACGGUACCCAAAGAAUAAGCACCGGCUAACUUCGUG